GAAAUAACAAUACAGGACCUUUAAUGGUUUUGUAAUUGGAAUGAGUUAAGUAUAAACCCCUUUACAAGUAUCAAUUGGAGGGCAAGUCUGGUGCCAGCAGCCGCGGUAAUUCCAGCUCCAAUAGCGUAUAUUAAAGUUGUUGCAGUUAAAAAGCUCGUAGUUGGAUUUCUGUUAAUUACUUUAUAUAAUUUUACACUUUUUUGUGUAGUUAUAUAGUAUUAACAUAAUUCAUAUUACUAUUUUUAGUAUAUGAAAUUUUACUUUGAGAAAAUUAGAGUGCUUAAAGCAGGCUUUUGCCUUGAAUACUUCAGCAUGGAAUAAUAAUUAAAGAUUUUUAUCUUUCUUUUAUUGGUUCUAAGAUAAAAAUAAUGAUUAAUAGGGACAGUUGGGGGCAUUUGUAUUUAACAGUUAGAGGUGAAAUUCUUAGAUUUGUUAAAGACAAACUAGUGCGAAAGCAUUUGCCAAGGAUGUUUUCAUUAAUCAAGAACGAAAGUUAGGGGAUCGAAGACGAUCAGAUACCGUCGUA
Molecule: ribosomal RNA, 526 nt
Filed under: Cryptosporidium sp. CrRatBr33
Lineage: Eukaryota; Apicomplexa; Conoidasida; Eucoccidiorida; Cryptosporidiidae
Description: bacterial SSU rRNA
Rfam family: Eukaryotic small subunit ribosomal RNA
Source: RNAcentral